Molecule: ribosomal RNA, 207 nt
Filed under: uncultured bacterium
Lineage: Bacteria
Description: partial 16S ribosomal RNA
Rfam family: Bacterial small subunit ribosomal RNA
Source: RNAcentral
CGCGUAGGUGGUUUGUUAAGUUGGAUGUGAAAGCCCCGGGCUCAACCUGGGAACUGCAUCCAAAACUGGCAAGCUAGAGUACGGUAGAGGGUGGUGGAAUUUCCUGUGUAGCAGUGAAAUGCGUAGAGAUGUGGAGGAAUACCGAUGGCGAAGGCAGCCCCCUGGGAUAACACUGACGUUCAUGCUCGAAAGCGUGGGUAGCAAACA